RNAcentral lists this unclassified non-coding RNA (674 nucleotides) under Hevea brasiliensis (rubber tree). Lineage: Eukaryota; Viridiplantae; Streptophyta; Magnoliopsida; Malpighiales; Euphorbiaceae. The record is from RNAcentral.
CUCUCUCUCUCUCUCUCUCAAUGCCCUGUUUGGAAGAGAGAUGAGUGAUAUUGGAUCGGAUUUCUCGGCGUGGGCGUCAACAAAAAAUCUAAAAAAAUUGGGGAAAAUGUCGAUUGGUAGAAGGAUUCUGAUUGGUGAACGUAAAAACUGUAAAAUAUCUGAAAAAUCAAAUUCGACGGAGCUGUGGAAGUUGUUGUGGUGUAGCGUGCAGAGGAUCAGCCGCGAGAUAGACGAGUAGUGCAAAAAUGAAAUUUAAAAAAGAAAAAAUGAAUGGCGUUAGCUUUCAGUGACUGUAGCUUUAUUUUCUCUCUCUAGAAAGGUAAAUUGUUUUUCGGGGAGUACGGUCGCGGCAGUGGUGUGAUUUUGAUGAUGCGCAAGCGCAAUUGCUUGUGGAUUGUCAAAUAGCUGGUGAAUUAUUUUUUAAAUUUUAUCACGGCUUUGGCAGUGGCUGACUGAUGGCAGAUACUUUGCUUUCGCACCAAAUUGGACUGUCUGCGCGCGGUACAGCCGUGCAGGGGCUCCUCCCCGCCUGAAAUUGUGCCUGCAGCGGCCAAAGCACGACGACGACGAAAGAGGAGAAAGAAAAAGAGUGUAAUUGCGCAUGAGCAGUUGGACAAAAGAUGCCCUCUUACACGUACCAAUGCGCUUUUUUCUUUUUAAUCUGUCAAACGUUG